AUGCUUCAUAGUGUUCUGGGGAAAACCUUCUAACUCGUUGGCUACACCAUUCAGUAUGGCUGCACAGCUCGUUGUGCUUUUGUAUAUAUUAGUGGUACAUCAUGUGUUCUGGAUCAUCGACGGAGCCUACAACUCAAAAUUAGAUAUUGCCUUUGCAGAAAAUCUCAGUAGAUAUUUUUAUGGUAUUCAAAGAGGUAACAUUGUGAUUGCAAAAAGCCCAAGUGAUCCAAAAUCAAAUAUUUGUAAAAGAGUAGUUGGCUUGGAAGGAGACAGAAUCCUCACUGAUCGGCCAUCAGAUUUCUUUAAAAGUCAUCGCUAUGUGCCAACUGGUCAUGUUUGGUUAGAAGGUGAUAAUUGGCAGAAUUCCACAGAUUCCAGGUACUAUGGAGCUAUUCCAUAUGAACUGACAAGAGGACAAAUCUUCUUUAAGAUUCGGCCUCUCAGUGAUUUUGGAUUUUUAUGUGACAGCCCUAAUGGCCAAAGAUUUUCUGAUGAUUAAUAAGCAUUUGUUCUUUUGACUUGAUUAUUGUCUCCUAUUAAACUUAUUACUACCACUGAAACCAUGUACUUAACAAUAAACUAUUUGCUAUU
Carlito syrichta (Philippine tarsier) is the source of this 591-nucleotide RNA transcript. It is a transcript of the gene named mitochondrial inner membrane protease subunit 1 pseudogene, with no coding region annotated. The record is from RefSeq and is a predicted model, not a curated record. NCBI's taxonomy places the organism in Eukaryota, Metazoa, Chordata, Mammalia, Primates, Tarsiidae. The transcript has a single exon.